GUGACAAUAGCUUAAAAUAGAGCAAUGGUCUUGUAAAUCACAGGUGAACAGUUAUUCGUUCUUGUCACU
Molecule: transfer RNA, 69 nt
Filed under: Clionella kraussii
Lineage: Eukaryota; Metazoa; Mollusca; Gastropoda; Neogastropoda; Clavatulidae
Description: tRNA-Thr
Rfam family: tRNA
About the family: Transfer RNA (tRNA) molecules are approximately 80 nucleotides in length. Their secondary structure includes four short double-helical elements and three loops (D, anti-codon, and T loops). Further hydrogen bonds mediate the characteristic L-shaped molecular structure. tRNAs have two regions of fundamental functional importance: the anti-codon, which is responsible for specific mRNA codon recognition, and the 3' end, to which the tRNAs corresponding amino acid is attached (by aminoacyl-tRNA synthetases). tRNAs cope with the degeneracy of the genetic code in two manners: having more than one tRNA (with a specific anti-codon) for a particular amino acid; and 'wobble' base-pairing, i.e. permitting non-standard base-pairing at the 3rd anti-codon position.
Source: RNAcentral